This 199-nucleotide long non-coding RNA is filed under the name Panax ginseng (ginseng). Its description in RNAcentral is "long non-coding RNA (PGIN_LNC006433)". Lineage: Eukaryota; Viridiplantae; Streptophyta; Magnoliopsida; Apiales; Araliaceae. The record is from RNAcentral.
ACUUUUAAUUCGUCACAAUAGAUACAUAAAUGUUUAACUAGUUACAUUUAUGCUGGAUUUUUUUUCUUUUCCUUCUUAACUUGUAACGCUCAUGGUAUUCUUAACCAUAGCACCAUACAAGGCACCUAUCAGAUUGCCACCGUACUUCAUAGGAUUCUUCAAUUUGUUAUAUUGUCGCUGGAUAUGUUUUUAUUUUAAG